UAAUACGUAGGGGGCAAGCGUUGUCCGGAUUUAUUGGGCGUAAAGAGCGUGUAGGCGGCCAGGUAGGUGGGUUGUGAAAACUGGAGGCUCAACCUUCAGACGUCGACCCAAACCCCCUGGCUAGAGUCCGGAAGAGGAGAGUGGAAUUCCUGGUGUAGCGGUGAAAUGCGCAGAUAUCAGGAAGAACACCCGUGGCGAAG
This 200-nucleotide ribosomal RNA is filed under the name uncultured bacterium. Its description in RNAcentral is "partial 16S ribosomal RNA". It matches the Rfam family "Bacterial small subunit ribosomal RNA", at positions 521 to 720 of the family's 1533-position model. The record is from RNAcentral.